Triticum aestivum (bread wheat) is the source of this 460-nucleotide long non-coding RNA. RefSeq lists it as uncharacterized. Lineage: Eukaryota; Viridiplantae; Streptophyta; Magnoliopsida; Poales; Poaceae. The transcript has 2 exons. The record is from RefSeq and is a predicted model, not a curated record.
GGGCCCAGCACCAGGCCUACCCCGUCGCCGCCGGGCCUCCCCCUGCCGCGCCCUGGGAUCCGCAGGCUAUGACGCACGCCUUCGCCAACCUCCAGAUGCAGCCGCCGCCGACCAGCAACGAGUGGUACAUGGAUACGGGUGCAACUUCCCACGUCGCCAGCUCCUCCGGACAUGGCAACGGGGAAACUCAUCAUGAGGUCCAGUAGCUCCGGAGAUCUUUACCCUUUCUUGCACAAUAAUGGCGGCUCCAUGGCACUCUCCGUUUUGAGCUCCGGCGAACUAUGGCACUUGCGGCUGGGCCAUCCUAGCCAUGUUUCCCUUUCUGCUUUAAUGAACAACUUUUUAGAUUCAUGUAAUAAAUCGCAAGGUUCUUCGGUGUGUGAAUCUUGUAAAAUAGGCAAACAACCUCGACUACCGUUUCCCCAUUCCACUUCGUUUACUACAGAACCUUUUCAACUUA